RNAcentral lists this long non-coding RNA (311 nucleotides) under Helianthus annuus (common sunflower). RNAcentral describes it as "sRNA HanXRQr2_Chr07g0282071". Lineage: Eukaryota; Viridiplantae; Streptophyta; Magnoliopsida; Asterales; Asteraceae. The record is from RNAcentral.
AAACUUCCGAACUACACAAGCUUCUAAACUUAGUUAAAAAUCCGGUACCCCAGGUCUUCAUGUGGUAACCCGGAAUUCUAGAAAAUUCGGAACUCGUAAAACCCGAAAGCUCUUGAAACCUCGGAUCAGAUCAUCUGAGCAGUAUUUAGAGUACAAAGGAAUUCGAAACAAGCAAGGAAAUAAAGGAAACUCUGCGGACAACAAAUGUUCUUGGACCAAGCGAAGCGAAUCUCAGAGUUUAAAAAGAAUCUUGAAAAUUGAGGCCAAAAUUCGGACUAUAGUUGUAAAAUUCGGAUUUUUUUUUUUUUUUU